AGCCUCCACCUGCCGCUGCGACUCCCGCUGGGCCUGCUCCAGCUCCUGCUCCCUCCCGCUCAGCUGCCGAGAGAGCUGUCCCCACCCAGGCCUAGAAGCUGAAUACACAAGACAGACCGGGGGAGCUGUCCUGCAGGCCAUAGAGUAGACACGGUGGCUGCUUCCUGAACCCCACACCCCAACCUCCAGUCCCCGUCCAGGACCAGCACUCUAUAAAAGUUCUUGGGAUUCCUGAA
Molecule: long non-coding RNA, 236 nt
Organism: Chinchilla lanigera (long-tailed chinchilla)
Lineage: Eukaryota; Metazoa; Chordata; Mammalia; Rodentia; Chinchillidae
Exons: 2
Source: RefSeq, a predicted model, not a curated record